Molecule: long non-coding RNA, 852 nt
Organism: Cucurbita maxima (winter squash)
Lineage: Eukaryota; Viridiplantae; Streptophyta; Magnoliopsida; Cucurbitales; Cucurbitaceae
Exons: 4
Source: RefSeq, a predicted model, not a curated record
CUUGUGAACACCGUGCUUCAUCUUCGAUCAAAAGAAGUGUUCAUGCAACAUAUUAUAAGUUUUAUUAAUCCCAAAAUGUCUCAUUAAGCCACCACCAAAUUAGACUAGCUCCAAAGAUAAAUUGUAUUGCGUAUUUUAAUGCAUACGUGUUUCCCUUGAGCAUGUCAUAAUUAUGAUUGUUAUGCUAUCCAAUGUCGUGUUAUGCCAUGUUUAUAAGCUAGACUAUAGUGUGACUAUACUAUGUAUAAUAAUAUGUUAUUAUGAUGAUAAUCUAUGAUGUGUUAGGACGUGGAUAUGAAAGAUUUGAUAAGAAUUAUGUCUGCAUAAUUACGUUAUAAAUGGAAUUGGAGGCACUUUCUCUUCAUGGUGUCUGAAAGCACAUUAGUGAGUGCUAGUCCAUUGAGACAGGCCUAGGCAAUACAUGAGCCCUCAGGUGGGUCCUCGUGCUCGUGGUUCGGUCGUGUGUAGAAAAGUACUAUACAUCCAACCUUGCCGGAACUGGAAAGCUACCUAAGGCAAUGCCAUUAGAACCUAUCAUGUCACAUGUGUAAACGUUAGGCACAAAGGUCGGAUGGCGACGCCGUGACGAAAGCCAUGGAACUAGAGGUUAAUAUCGAAAUCGAGAAAAUACAGGCAAAUAUAGGUCAAACAAAUGGAAAAAGAAGUAUCACUCGUUGGUUAUGGACCAACAUAUGCACAAAUAUCAUGCACGACUACAUACGCGCAGAGGCGGUCGCAUGCGUAAAGGUGGUAUGAAUCUCAAAUUGGGUCAGACACAUAGGGUGCAGGUCACGAUUUGAGUCGGACACAGACAAUCGAGUCUGAAAUUUGUAACUUGUGUGUCGUCAAUGA